Molecule: ribosomal RNA, 265 nt
Filed under: uncultured bacterium
Lineage: Bacteria
Description: partial small subunit ribosomal RNA
Rfam family: Bacterial small subunit ribosomal RNA
Source: RNAcentral
AGAACGAACGCUGGCGGCAUGCCUAACACAUGCAAGUCGAACGCUUUUGGGGCUUCGGUCCCAAAGGAGUGGCGCACGGGUGAGUAGCGCGUGGGAACCUGCCCUGGAGUGGGGGAUAACCGAGGGAAACUUCGGCUAAUACCGCAUGCGCCCGGUUUACCUCGAAAGGGGGAAACCGGGGAAAGAUUUAUCGCUCUAGGAGGGGCCCGCGUCGGAUUAGCUUGUUGGUGGGGUAACGGCCUACCAAGGCGUACGACGGGUAGCC